UUAGAGUUUUGAUCAUGGCUCAGAUUGAACGCUGGCGGCAGGCUUAACACAUGCAAGUCGAGCGGUAACAUUUCUAGCUUGCUAGAAGAUGACGAGCGGCGGACGGGUGAGUAAUACUUGGGGAUCUGCCUGAUGGAGGGGGACAACCACUGGAAACGGUGGCUAAUACCGCAUGACGCCUACGGGCCAAAGUGUGGGACCUUCGGGCCACACGCCAUCAGAUGAACCCAAGCGAGAUUAGCUAGUUGGUGAGGUAACGGCUCACCAAGGCGACGAUCUCUAGCUGGUCUGAGAGGAUGAUCAGCCACACUGGGACUGAGACACGGCCCAGACUCCUACGGGAGGCAGCAGUGGGGAAUAUUGGACAAUGGGCGCAAGCCUGAUCCACCCAUGCCGCGUGUGUGAAGAAGGCCUUAGGGUUGUAAAGCACUUUCAGUGGUGAGGAGGGCGUCUUAGUUAAUAGCUGCAACGAUGGACGUAGCCACAGAAGAGCACCG
This 497-nucleotide ribosomal RNA is filed under the name Alkalimonas sp. BW86-30. Its description in RNAcentral is "bacterial SSU rRNA". It matches the Rfam family "Bacterial small subunit ribosomal RNA", at positions 1 to 495 of the family's 1533-position model. The record is from RNAcentral. Lineage: Bacteria; Pseudomonadati; Pseudomonadota; Gammaproteobacteria.